UAAUUUGUAGAGGAUGCUUCGGAAUGGCCCCAGUCUAAGUUCCUUGGAACAGGACGUCGCAGAGGGUGAGAAUCCCGUAUGUGACUGGGUAGCCGGCCCAUGUGAAGCUCCUUCGACGAGUCGAGUUGUUUGGGAAUGCAGCUCUAAAUGGGUGGUAAAUGUCAUCUAAAGCUAAAUACCGGCCAGAGACCGAUAGCGCACAAGUAGAGUGAUCGAAAGAUGAAAAGCACUUUGGAAAGAGAGUUAAAAAGUACGUGAAAUUGUUGAAAGGGAAGCGUUUGCAACCAGACUUGCCUGCAGUCGAUCAGCCGGUGUUCUCACCGGUGCACUCUUCUGCGGUCAGGCCAGCAUCGGUUUGGGCGGUUGGAUAAAGGCCUGGGGAAUGUAGCUCCUCUCGGGGAGAACUUAUAGCCCCAGGUGUCAUGCAGCCUGCCUGGACCGAGGACCGCGCUUCGGCUAGGAUGCUGGCGUAAUGGUUGUAAACGACCCGUCUUGAAACACGGACCAAGGAGUCUAACAUCUAUGCGAGUGUUUGGGUGUCAAACCCGUACGCGUAAUGAAAGUGAACGGAGGUGGGAAGCGCAAGCUGCACCAUCGACCGAUCCUGAUGUCUUCGGAUGGAUUUGAGUAUGAGCAUAGCUGUUGGGACCCGAAAGAUGGUGAACUAUGCCUGAAUAGGGUGAAGCCAGAGGAAACUCUGGUGGAGGCUCGCAGCGGUUCUGACGUGCAAAUCGAUCGUCAAAUUUGGGUAUAGGGGCGAAAGACUAAUCGAACCAUCUAGUA
RNAcentral lists this ribosomal RNA (783 nucleotides) under Symbiotaphrina sanguinea. Its description in RNAcentral is "partial large subunit ribosomal RNA". It matches the Rfam family "Eukaryotic large subunit ribosomal RNA", at positions 146 to 949 of the family's 3401-position model. The record is from RNAcentral. Lineage: Eukaryota; Fungi; Ascomycota; Symbiotaphrinales; Symbiotaphrinaceae.